This 485-nucleotide ribosomal RNA is filed under the name uncultured bacterium. RNAcentral's name for it is "bacterial SSU rRNA". It matches the Rfam family "Bacterial small subunit ribosomal RNA", at positions 8 to 526 of the family's 1533-position model. The record is from RNAcentral.
AGGGUUUGAUCAUGGCUCAGAUUGAACGCUGGCUGCAUGCUUAACACAUGCAAGUCGAACGAGAAAGUACCUUCGGGUGCGAGUAAAGUGGCGGACGGGUGAGUAAUGCAUAGGAAUCUGCCCAGUAGUGGGGGACAACUCGGGGAAACUCGAGCUAAUACCGCAUACUUCCUACGGGAGAAAGACUUCGGUCGCUACUGGAUGAGCCUAUGUCAGAUUAGCUUGUUGGUAGGGUAAUGGCCUACCAAGGCAACGAUCUGUAGCUGGUCUGAGAGGAUGAUCAGCCACACUGGGACUGAGACACGGCCCAGACUCCUACGGGAGGCAGCAGUGGGGAAUAUUGGACAAUGGGCGAAAGCCUGAUCCAGCAAUGCAGCGUGUGUGAAGAAGGCCUGAGGGUUGUAAAGCACUUUCAGUAGGGAAGAUAAUGACGGUACCUACAGAAGAAGCACCGGCUAACUCCGUGCCAGCCGCCGCGGUAAUAC